AUUGCCAAAAAAAUCCUAAAUCUCCGGCGUCCACUACCACCAGCCUAAAUAGAUCAAUCAAAUUACUCUAUGCUUAUAUCACUUUGGAUCAAUUGGCAUAGCCCAACCUGUUAAUUGAGGUGAUGAAAAAAAAAAAAAUGAGGAGGCACGGCACAUUAACCAUGAUCAAGUCAGGGCUGUUGCAGUUACACUAACAGUUUGCGGCUGGCAAUCAUAUUCAUGAAUUGUUUGUAUAUUGUGUAUUAGUAGUUGUUUCAACGACGAAGUUGUAAUUCUUAAUUGUAUUUUCUUCUCCCACUGAAAUUAUAUUUCUCUUCAAGGGUUAGGUUAGUUCAAGAUUAUAGCCCAUGUCUGUGAGAGGGAAAACUGAAUGCAGCAAUUUUGAAGCUGCCAGUAUAAAUUGGAUGUGUACUUUGCUCA
Molecule: non-coding RNA, 420 nt
Organism: Camellia sinensis
Lineage: Eukaryota; Viridiplantae; Streptophyta; Magnoliopsida; Ericales; Theaceae
Source: RefSeq, a predicted model, not a curated record